AGUGAAGGACAGUGCUCACACAUCGAUGCUAUUGCCAAGAUGAGAAGUGUGCUGUCCAAGAAGAUAAAAUCUGAGAUGAAGAUGAGGGAAGAGAAAAUAAAAGAGAAGAGAGUGGAUAAAGGGAGAGGGUUAAGGGAAAUGAAAGAGAUCAUCUCACACUACAAAAGAAAACAUCGAAAGUUAAGAUGGAUAAUUUAUGGACAAAGAAAGAAAAACAAAAUUCUAAAGUAGAGAAUUGUUGAGCUUGAAGGAAGCCUUGUGCCUCCAAAGGAUGUGGAAGAAGCUGAGGUUGGAGAUGAUGGAGCUCCAUCC
RNAcentral lists this long non-coding RNA (312 nucleotides) under Elaeis guineensis (African oil palm). RNAcentral's name for it is "long non-coding RNA (EGUI_LNC023243)". Lineage: Eukaryota; Viridiplantae; Streptophyta; Magnoliopsida; Arecales; Arecaceae. The record is from RNAcentral.